Molecule: ribosomal RNA, 595 nt
Filed under: uncultured bacterium
Lineage: Bacteria
Description: bacterial SSU rRNA
Rfam family: Bacterial small subunit ribosomal RNA (bases 1-531)
Source: RNAcentral
CCUACGGGAGGCAGCAGUAAGGAAUAUUGGUCAAUGGACGAAAGUCUGAACCAGCCAUGCCGCGUGAAGGAUUAAGGCCCUCUGGGUUGUAAACUUCUUUUAUCUGGGACGAAAAAAGGGUAUUCUUACUCACUUGACGGUACCAGAGGAAUAAGCACCGGCUAACUCCGUGCCAGCAGCCGCGGUAAUACGGAGGGUGCAAGCGUUAUCCGGAUUUACUGGGUUUAAAGGGUGCGUAGGUGGGCUUGUAAGUCAGUGGUGAAAUCUCCGGGCUUAACCCGGAAACUGCCAUUGAUACUAUAGGUCUUGAAUUAUCUGGAGGUAAGCGGAAUAUGUCAUGUAGCGGUGAAAUGCUUAGAUAUGACAUAGAACACCAAUUGCGAAGGCAGCUUACUACGGAUAUAUUGACGACUGAGGCACGAAAGCGUGGGGAUCAAACAGGAUUAGAUACCCUGGUAGUCCACGCCCUAAACGAUGGAUACUCGACAUCAGCGAUACACUGUUGGUGUCUGAGNGAGANAUAUAUCCACCNGAGUAGANGCAGAUAGAAGUAAGUAAGUAGAGNGNGAGAGNGCGAGACGACGACGAGGAGAGG